CUACGGGGGGCUGCAGUAGGGAAUCUUAGACAAUGGGGGAAACCCUGAUCUAGCCAUGCCGCGUGAGUGAUGAAGGCCUUAGGGUUGUAAAGCUCUUUCGCUGGGGAAGAUAAUGACGGUGCCCAGUAAAGAAACCCCGGCUAACUCCGUGCCAGCAGCCGCGGUAAUACGGAGGGGGUUAGCGUUGUUCGGAAUUACUGGGCGUAAAGCGCGCGUAGGCGGGCUAUUAAGUCAGGGGUGAAAUCCCGGGGCUCAACCCCGGAACUGCCUUUGAUACUGGUAGUCUUGAGUUCGAGAGAGGUGAGUGGAAUUCCGAGUGUAGAGGUGAAAUUCGUAGAUAUUCGGAGGAACAUCAGUGGCGAAGGCGACUCACUGGCUCGAUACUGACGCUGAGGUGCGAAAGUGUGGGGAGCAAACAGGAUUAGAUACCCGUGUAGUC
This 439-nucleotide ribosomal RNA is filed under the name uncultured bacterium. RNAcentral describes it as "partial 16S ribosomal RNA". It matches the Rfam family "Bacterial small subunit ribosomal RNA", at positions 339 to 795 of the family's 1533-position model. The record is from RNAcentral.